UACGAAGGGGGCUAGCGUUGCUCGGAAUUAUUGGGCGUAAAGCGCACGUAGGCGGUUCGUUAAGUCGGAUGUGAAAGCCCUCGGCUGAACUGAGGAAGUGCACCCGAAACUGGCGAGCUUGAGUACGAAAGAGGAUCGCGGAAUUCCCGGUGUAGAGGUGAAAUUCGUAGAUAUCGGGAGGAACACCAGUGGCGAAGGCGGUUGCCUGGGGCUUUGCUGACGCUGAUGCGCGAAAGCGUGGGGAGCGAUCCGG
This 253-nucleotide ribosomal RNA is filed under the name uncultured bacterium. RNAcentral describes it as "partial 16S ribosomal RNA". It matches the Rfam family "Bacterial small subunit ribosomal RNA", at positions 524 to 776 of the family's 1533-position model. The record is from RNAcentral.